This 468-nucleotide ribosomal RNA is filed under the name uncultured bacterium. RNAcentral's name for it is "partial 16S ribosomal RNA". It matches the Rfam family "Bacterial small subunit ribosomal RNA", at positions 28 to 507 of the family's 1533-position model. The record is from RNAcentral.
GACGAACGCUGGCGGCGUGCUUAACACAUGCAAGUCGAACGGAAAGGCCCUGCUUUUGUGGGGUGCUCGAGUGGCGAACGGGUGAGUAACACGUGAGUAACCUGCCCUUGACUUUGGGAUAACUUCAGGAAACUGGGGCUAAUACCGGAUAGGAGCUCCUGCUGCAUGGUGGGGGUUGGAAAGUUUCGGCGGUUGGGGAUGGACUCGCGGGUUAUCAGCUUGUUGGUGGGGUAGUGGCUUACCAAGGCUUUGACGGGUAGCCGGCCUGAGAGGGUGACCGGCCACAUUGGGACUGAGAUACGGCCCAGACUCCUACGGGAGGCAGCAGUGGGGAAUAUUGCACGAUGGGCGGAAGCCUGAUGCAGCAACGCCGCGUGCGGGAUGACGGCCUUCGGGUUGUAAACCGCUUUCGCCUGUGACGAAGCGUGAGUGACGGUAAUGGGUAAAGAAGCACCGGCUAACUACGUG